Molecule: ribosomal RNA, 405 nt
Filed under: uncultured bacterium
Lineage: Bacteria
Description: partial 16S ribosomal RNA
Rfam family: Bacterial small subunit ribosomal RNA
Source: RNAcentral
AUUGAACGCUGGCGGCAGGCUUAACACAUGCAAGUCGAGCGAGCGGCGGACGGGUGAGUAAUGUCUGGGAAACUGCCUGAUGGAGGGGGAUAACUACUGGAAACGGUAGCUAAUACCGCAUACCAUCAGAUGUGCCCAGAUGGGAUUAGCUAGUUGGUGGGGUAAUGGCUCACCUAGGCGACGAUCCCUAGCUGGUCUGAGAGGAUGACCAGCCACACUGAAACUGAGACACGGUCCAGACCCCUACGGGAGGCAGCAGUGGGGAAUAUUGCCCAAGGGGCGAAAGCCUGAUGCGGCCAUGCCGCGUGUGGGAAGAGGGCCUUCGGGUUGUAAAGCACUUUCGGCGAGGAGGCGUUACUCGCAGAGGAAGCACCGGCUAACUCCGUGCCAGCGGCCGCGGUAAAC